AACGAACGCUGGCGGCAGGCCUAACACAUGCAAGUCGAACGCCCCGCAAGGGGAGUGGCAGACGGGUGAGUAGCGCGUGGGAACCUUCACAAAGGUGCGGAAUAGCUCAGGGAAACUUGGGGUAAUACCGCAUAAUGCCGAAAGGCAAAAGAUUUAUCGCCUUUGGAUGGGCCCGCGUCGGAUUAGCUAGUUGGGGAGGUAAUGGCUCACCAAGGCGACGAUCCGUAGCUGGCUUGAGGGAAUGACCUGACACACUGGGACUGAGACACUGCCCAGACUCCUACGGGAGGCAGCGGUGGUGAAUCUGGGACAAUGGGAGCAAGCCUGAUCCAGCCAUGCCGCGUGAGUGACGAAGGCCUUAGGGUUGUAAAGCUCUUUGGCCGGGGACGAUAAUGACGUUACCCGGAGAAUAAGUCCCGGCUAACUUCGUGCCAGCAGCCGCCGUAA
This 447-nucleotide ribosomal RNA is filed under the name uncultured bacterium. Its description in RNAcentral is "partial 16S ribosomal RNA". It matches the Rfam family "Bacterial small subunit ribosomal RNA", at positions 29 to 523 of the family's 1533-position model. The record is from RNAcentral.